GUCACAGUUGGAAUUCAUUUUCUGAUAAUGAUUCAAGUCUUCGUUUACUUUGAGAAAAUUUGAGUGUUCAAAACAGUGUUACGGCUGUAUAUUAAAGCAUGGAAUGAUACAUAAUGACAUUGGUUAAUUUUGGUUGGUUUGAGUGGCUGCUGUAAUGAUUUAUAGAGUUAGUUGGAGGUAUUAGUAUUUUUUCGUUAGAAGUGAAAUUCUGGGAUCGAAAAAAGACGAACAACUGCGAAAGCAUUUGCCUAGUAUUUGCUCUUUGAUCAAGAACGUAAGUUGGGGGAUCGAAGACGAUCAGAUACCGUCGUAGUCUCAACUUUAAACAAUAUCAACUAGGGGUUGGCAAAUGUUUAUAUGACUUUGUCAUAACCGUGGGAGAAAUCAAAGUGUUUGGGUUCCGGGGGGAGUAUGGUCGCAAGGCUUAAACUUAAAGGUAUUGACGGAAGGGCACCACAAGAUGUGGAUCCUGUGGCUUAAUUUGACUCAACACA
RNAcentral lists this ribosomal RNA (494 nucleotides) under Collozoum pelagicum. RNAcentral's name for it is "SSU rRNA". It matches the Rfam family "Eukaryotic small subunit ribosomal RNA", at positions 708 to 1207 of the family's 1831-position model. Lineage: Eukaryota; Polycystinea; Collodaria; Sphaerozoidae. The record is from RNAcentral.